This 547-nucleotide ribosomal RNA is filed under the name uncultured bacterium. RNAcentral's name for it is "bacterial SSU rRNA". It matches the Rfam family "Bacterial small subunit ribosomal RNA", at positions 355 to 896 of the family's 1533-position model. The record is from RNAcentral.
UGGGGAAUAUUGCGCAAUGGGGGGAACCCUGACGCAGCCAUGCCGCGUGAAUGAAGAAGGCCUUAGGGUUGUAAAGUUCUUUCGGUAUUGAGGAAGGUUGAUGUGUUAAUAGCACAUCAAAUUGACGUUAAAUACAGAAGAAGCACCGGCUAACUCCGUGCCAGCAGCCGCGGUAAUACGGAGGGUGCGAGCGUUAAUCGGAAUAACUGGGCGUAAAGGGCACGCAGGCGGUUAUUUAAGUGAGGUGUGAAAGCCCUGGGCUUAACCUAGGAAUUGCAUUUCAGACUGGGUGACUAGAGUACUUUAGGGAGGGGUAGAAUUCCACGUGUAGCGGUGAAAUGCGUAGAGAUGUGGAGGAGUACCGAAGGCGAAGGCAGCCCCUUGGGAAUGUACUGACGCUCAUGUGCGAAAGCGUGGGGAGCAAACAGGAUUAGAUACCCUGGUAGUCCACGCUGUAAACGCUGUCGAUUUGGGGGUUGGGGUUUAACUCUGGCGCCCGUAGCUAACGUGAUAAAUCGACCGCCUGGGGAGUACGGCCGCAAGGUUA